UGCCCUUUUGUGGUAAACAGCCGCUGUAUUUUGACGGUGCUAAGGUAGCGAAAUUCCUAGCCUUUUAAUUGGAGGCCUGCAUGAAUGGCUUGACGAGCGCCUGACUGUCUCUCUCCCGCAUGUAGUGAAAUUAGCUUUUGUGUGCAAAGACACAAAUAAUUGAGUAAGACGAAAAGACCCUGUGCAACUUUACUAAGAAAAGAGGGGUUACCUAUUUGUAGUUUAGCUGGGGCAGCUUAGGAAAAGAUAAAACUUCCUUGAAUUUAACAUACUGGUAGGUUUGGAUCCGAUGUAGUUAUUGUGUAGAUCGAGUAGCAGAAAAGUUACGCCAGGGAUAACAGCGUUAUCCUUCUGUGGAGGUCUUAUCUGCAGGGGGGAUUGCGACCUCG
This 389-nucleotide ribosomal RNA is filed under the name Atrina pectinata. RNAcentral describes it as "partial 16S ribosomal RNA". It matches the Rfam family "Bacterial large subunit ribosomal RNA", at positions 1911 to 2528 of the family's 2925-position model. The record is from RNAcentral. Lineage: Eukaryota; Metazoa; Mollusca; Bivalvia; Pterioida; Pinnidae.